UGGGGAAUUUUGGACAAUGGGGGAAACCCUGAUCCAGCCAUCCCGCGUGUGCGAUGAAGGCCUUCGGGUUGUAAAGCACUUUUGGCAGGAAAGAAACGACAUGGGUUAAUACCCCGUGAAACUGACGGUACCUGCAGAAUAAGCACCGGCUAACUACGUGCCAGCAGCCGCGGUAAUACGUAGGGUGCAAGCGUUAAUCGGAAUUACUGGGCGUAAAGCGUGCGCAGGCGGUUCGGAAAGAAAGAUGUGAAAUCCCAGAGCUCAACUUUGGAACUGCAUUUUUAACUACCGGGCUAGAGUGUGUCAGAGGGGGGUGGAAUUCCGCGUGUAGCAGUGAAAUGCGUAGAUAUGCGGAGGAACACCGAUGGCGAAGGCAGCCUCCUGGGAUAACACUGACGCUCAUGCACGAAAGCGUGGGGAGCAAACAGG
Molecule: ribosomal RNA, 429 nt
Filed under: Acidobacteriota bacterium
Lineage: Bacteria; Pseudomonadati; Acidobacteriota
Description: Acidobacteria bacterium partial 16S ribosomal RNA
Rfam family: Bacterial small subunit ribosomal RNA
Source: RNAcentral